RNAcentral lists this ribosomal RNA (504 nucleotides) under uncultured bacterium. RNAcentral describes it as "partial 16S ribosomal RNA". It matches the Rfam family "Bacterial small subunit ribosomal RNA", at positions 29 to 523 of the family's 1533-position model. The record is from RNAcentral.
AUUGAACGCUGGCGGCAGGCCUAACACAUGCAAGUCGGACGGUAGCACAGAGAGCUUGCUCUUCGGUGACGAGUGGCGGACGGGUGAGUAAUGUCUGGGGAUCUGCCCGAUAGAGGGGGAUAACCACUGGAAACGGUGGCUAAUACCGCAUAACGUCGCACGACCAAAGAGGGGGAGCUUCGGGCCUCUCACUAUCGGAUCAACCCAGAUGGGAUUAGCUAGUAGGCGGGGUAAUGGCCCACCUAGGCGACGAUCCCUAGCUGGUCUGAGAGGAUGACCAGCCACACUGGAACUGAGACACGGUCCAGACUCCUACGGGAGGCAGCAGUGGGGAAUAUUGCACAAUGGGCGCAAGCCUGAUGCAGCCAUGCCGCGUGUAUGAAGAAGGCCUUCGGGUUGUAAAGUACUUUCAGCGGGGAGGAAGGCGACGCGGUUAAUAACCGCGUCGAUUGACGUUACCCGCAGAAGAAGCACCGGCUAACUCCGUGCCAGCCGCCGCCGUAA